AAUAAUCGAGAAAUCGUUCGACUUUUCAUUUCCUGUCCAAUCGUCGCAUUUUCAAAGAGAACUGAAGUAUACUUCACGUUAUUGUACUUAAUGUUCAAUAUCAGUAUAAACAGGUUAUAUCGCGAAAGUAAUUGGAUCGUGCAUACCAUUUUCUCCAUGUUUUAACCGACUUUCCGCAGAAUAUCAGCGAUCACGCAUUAUCGAUCUUAUAAUGAUCUGUUUCGCGACAUAGAUGUUAAAGAGAAAGCGAUAUGCCGUGAUGUGCACGAUAUCUUACCAAACGUUCUUCAUGGAGUAGUUUUGUAUUGAAUCAUGGGUUGAACUCUACACUAAUUUAUUUCCAAGGCCAGGAGAUAUUUAUAAAACACACGGAAGAUAUCAAAUAUGGUUACAAACAUAUAACUAAUCAUUUGUUGUCUUUCACUUUUUACCUGCGCCAGAAUCGUUCCAUGAUAAACCCAUGCCUUUGGAAGUUAAUACGAUUCGAAAAAAUAACUCAAGGUCUCUUCGGCAUAAAAUGUCUUAUUUGGUGUACAAAGAAUCAACUUCGAUCUACGAGUUUUUAUUUAAAAUCUUACUUAUUAUUUAAAAUAUUCUAUAUAUUUGUCUAUAAUUGAUAAUGAUUAUAGCUGCAAUAUGGAUAUGUAGGAACAGAUCCAACAGAUUCAUAUCAGCGUA
This is a non-coding RNA of Linepithema humile (Argentine ant), 678 nucleotides long. Lineage: Eukaryota; Metazoa; Arthropoda; Insecta; Hymenoptera; Formicidae. The record is from RefSeq and is a predicted model, not a curated record.